GGUAGGUCUAGCCUUGCGACGAUUAGCGAUCGGCUGCUUCACAUCAUCGGCAGGAUAGAACUUGGGGGCCUUCUCCUCCGGCUUGGGCGCCGCCGGCGCCGCAUCGUGGCGGGGAAGAACGCCGCCGUUCUUGGCCUUGAUGGCCCAGAUCCCGCGCUUGUGGUACAUCUUCGACCGGGAGAACUUGCCGAUUCCCCGAAUGAGAUCCG
Molecule: unclassified non-coding RNA, 209 nt
Filed under: Hevea brasiliensis (rubber tree)
Lineage: Eukaryota; Viridiplantae; Streptophyta; Magnoliopsida; Malpighiales; Euphorbiaceae
Source: RNAcentral